RNAcentral lists this ribosomal RNA (396 nucleotides) under uncultured bacterium. Its description in RNAcentral is "partial 16S ribosomal RNA". It matches the Rfam family "Bacterial small subunit ribosomal RNA", at positions 523 to 918 of the family's 1533-position model. The record is from RNAcentral.
AUACGUAGGUGGCAAGCGUUGUCCGGAAUUAUUGGGCGUAAAGCGCGUGUAGGCGGUUUGGUAAGUCGGUCGUGAAAAUGCGGUGCUUAACGCCGUAUGGCGAUUGAAACUGCUGAACUUGAGUGCAGGAGAGGAAAGGGGAACUCCCAGGGUAGCGGUGAAAUGCGUAGAUAUUGGGAAGAACACCGGUGGCGAAGACGCCUUUCUGGACUGUGUCUGACGCUCAGAUGCGAAAGCCAGGGUAGCGAACGGGAUUAGAUACCCCGGUAGUCCUGGCCGUAAACGAUGGGUACUAGGUGUGGGAGGUAUCGACUCCUUCCGUGCCGGAGUUAACGCAAUAAGUACCCCGCCUGGGGAGUACGGCCGCAAGGCUUAAACUCAAAGGAAUUGACGGGG